CCUACGGGAGGCUGCAGUGAGGAAUAUUGGUCAAUGGACGAGAGUCUGAACCAGCCAAGUAGCGUGAAGGAUGACUGCCCUAUGGGUUGUAAACUUCUUUUAUAUGGGAAUAAAACGUUCCACGUGUGGGAUUUUGUAUGUACCAUAAGAAUAAGGAUCGGCUAACUCCGUGCCAGCAGCCGCGGUAAUACGGAGGAUCCGAGCGUUAUCCGGAUUUAUUGGGUUUAAAGGGAGCGUAGGUGGAUUGUUAAGUCAGUUGUGAAAGUUUGCGGCUCAACCGUAAAAUGGCAGUUGAAACUGGCAGUCUUGAGUACAGUAGAGGUGGGCGGAAUGCGUGGUGUAGCGGUGAAAUGCUUAGAUAUCACGAAGAACUCCGAUUGCGAAGGCAGUUCACUGGACUGCAACUGACACUGAGGCUCGAAAGUGUGGGUAUCAAACAGGAUUAGAUACCCUUGUAGUC
RNAcentral lists this ribosomal RNA (460 nucleotides) under uncultured bacterium. RNAcentral describes it as "partial 16S ribosomal RNA". It matches the Rfam family "Bacterial small subunit ribosomal RNA", at positions 338 to 795 of the family's 1533-position model. The record is from RNAcentral.